UUUGGUUUCUACUUUGUGUUUCCUUCUACAUUUUGGUUUUAUGAUUGUAUUUUUCAUCUUCUCUGUUUUGUACUGAAUAUUUUGGAAACGAUGUCUCUCUUGAAGGGAGACGAAGAAGAUGCAUAAAGUUAUUAAAAAAAUAUUCAUUUUAAUAUGCUUUGUCAAUGUAACUUAUGUAAAAGCUUGUACAAUUUUCAUUUUUGUUUCGUUUGUUUAGCCCAACUAAAAUGCAUUUCAAAAAAAUAAAUAGCUGGUAACUCGACCGUAUCACAUUUUUUUGAUCGGAUAGUACCUUAUCUUAAUUUUGAAUGAUAUCUUAUUCGCCUUAAAAAAAAAAAAAAAAAAAAAAAUCUUAUUCGCCUUAAAUCUUACCCCAACACCAACAAAGCAUCAUAUAAUAAUUUUUUAAUUGACGUGGUAUGUUAUGUUACAUGCCUCUACAUGUGGACGUGCAGAUACGCAUUAGUAUUAGCAGAGAAGAUCGCAAAAUAUUGUAAAUUAAUGAUAACAAUAAUAUACUCCUUUUCACCGACAAGAGUCAGCAAAAGAUUUUGAGAAAACAUGUGUCUGAAUGAAAAGUUUUGACAAAAUCACACAUAUUCUAUCUACAUCAUUCAUAUGUUUUCUACUGUUACUUAUUUGUCUUUAAUUUCAUAUUUUCAAAACUUGACCUAAAUCCAAAAUUUGCUUUUUUGCUUUCUCUUAAGAAUUCAGAUUUUGUUAACAUUUUUGUUCCGUCAACGAUUUGCUAACAUUCAUGUACAUACAUAUCCAUAACUAGACAUCAUCAAUAACGUAUAUAUGUACGAAUACAAUGAAUAUAAAAAUGUUCAAGAGUCGACCAUUUUUAUCAUCCGGAUUUUGAUGAAGUAAUGGAUAAUCUUGAUAUCCUGACACGGUAUUAUAGAAAAUGAAAUGGUAGUCGUUUUUAAUUACUAUCUUAAGCAAUAACGUCUCAUUCAACUCUUUAUGAUGAUAAUACUCUUAUACGUAUAUGAACGAAGCAGUUGAGAUUUUGUUUGACUUUUUUUUUGGUUCGCUCCAAAUCUAUCAUUCUUUCGUAGGGCCCAUACAAGUAAUGUAGAGUGUCCCCUCCACCGUCAAUGUUCUUAAAACUACCAUCUUUUUAUCAAAGGCUUGCAUUGGUGGCGAUGGAUGAUCGAGUAUCGCGUUUAGCUCGGUCCAGAGAGAGAGAGUAAACCGAUGAUACACGCUUUGACACGGCAGAGGAUAAAGCACAAAUAUACAAGUAAAUAUUCUGUGUUUGACCUUUUUCAUGACCUUUUUAGCAGCCUCUAUAACAAUUUUUCAUCUUUGUUGUUCACUUGUUUGAAUAUCAAUUCAUUAUUUGUUUAAACAUGACCUUUUUAGAGAAUGUUUAACACCGUUUUGUUUUGCUGGGUUUGUUGGUUGGAUUGAAUUGUUUAUGAGUUUUGUGUUGGUUAUCGUGUGAUUUAGGGCACAAGGAUGUAAUUCAGGGUCUUAAUUGUUAGGGCCAGGGCCGGCCCUGAAUAAGCAUGGGCUCCGUGCACAAAGUAAUUUUUAUGGACCCACUAAAUGUGACAUGAAAAUAUUUUUGGUAAAGGAAUUGGCUAACUUAAUCAUCAUCAUGAAUUAAUAAGAGAACUACUGAUCCAAUGACACUUCGAGCAUAUGAUAGCUCUGCUUCUUCUCAGGGACGCCAUGCCGCGUUAUGAAAUAGAUUAUAAACAUUAACUGCGAAAUAAGAUGCCCAAAAACCUCUGGUCCUCAUUGGCUUCGAUUGUAAUUGAUACCGUUUAAAAAAAAAUUAAUUUUGUUCAAGUUGAUCCAUGAUUAUUUUUAUUGUGACUUGUGAGGCUGCUUACUUAGAAUUCUGCUCAUAGCUACCCAUUUUAACUAACAUUUUUUGUGUAAAGCUACAUUCCAUUCUCUCCCCUUGGAAUAAAUUUCUAGUGUUCUUUUGCACUUGUCUGAGGAGUAUAACAUCAACAAGUUAUUAGGAAUGUUACUUGAUUCUUUUUUUUUUUCUACGGAUGUGUGUGUCUCAGGUUAUUUUGUCAUUCCCAAGUCAUUUCCAAGUGGAUGUACCUACAUUUGUAACCAAGUUAGAUGGAGCUUUCAUCUUGGGUUUGAUUCAUUUUGUACCUAACCGGUAUUAUAUUGAUGGAUUAGUUGCGUAUCCAUCCAGAUGCAAAGCCUCGCGAGAUUACUCUUUGGAUCUAGAAAGCAUUUAUGAUCUCAACGGUUAUUAAAAAAAAAGAUGUACCUAUAUUUGCAUUCAUGUUUUGACUUACUGUCAUCUAUUUACAAGCUCCUUAGUCUGAUGUUCAGUGUCACAGACUCACAAAGCCUUACUUUCGAUAGUUCAGCUACUGUUUGGUUAAAAAAAUCUGGUGAUCUCUGAGAUAUUUUUGGAGUGCAUGAUACUGCCUUGUUAGUGAAUUUCUGUCUUCAAGUUUUCGGUAGUCAAAGGGAAUGGAACAGUUCAAGAACCUUGUUACUGAAUACUGUUUCUUGUUAUCGAACUUGGGAUACAGUUCCCUUGUAUACGUUUUGUACAAUCAAUCGACACUAACAUAUGAUAUGAUCUAGUUACAAUGACUCAAUCAGAGAUUUUGCUAUGGGCUAAGGCACAAUAUAUAAUGUUCACCUUCAGAUAGCAAGAGUAAAGAGUUGAUGUUGAAAGUAGUUGAUGUUGUUGUCCUCUGGCUUUUCAAUACACUAGAAGCACGCGGGAAAUAUAUGACCUAUUCUAGCCAUUAGUCUCGCAGACCAUCAUUUUCGAAUCUAAAACACAAACUGUAGUUAAUUUUACGAGUUCUAAUACCAUGUUCAAAAUCUUAGAGGUAAAAGGUUUCUUGUGUAUCGAACUUGGGAUACAGUUUCCUCUUAUACGUUGUGCACAAUCGACACUAAUAUAUGACCUAGUUACAAUGGUCCAAUCAGAGAUUGCGGUAUGGGCUAAGGCCCAAUAUAUAAUGUUACAUUCAAGAUUCAAGCGUAAAGAGUUGCGUAAUAUAUUAUACAAGGAACACAUAUUCUCUUUUUUUUUGGGGGUAAAUGUUAGUAAAAUCACAUAUUCUCUUCUUCUUCUUUUUUUUGAAUAUAGAAUCACACACACACAUAUUCUCUUUUCUUUCCCUGAUUUUGAUAUUUGUUUUCUUCGAAGGAAUGAUGAAUUUGUUGGCUCACGAGAAGGUGAGCGAAGAGGGCCUCGAUGUUCAACUAACCUAGGUCUUCGCGUAGCAAUCUCAAUUUAACUCGGUUUAUUUUUUACCCGUUGGUUCGUUGCGGGGACCAGCAAAACGGAGACGUUUCCUAGUGACAGUGGCAAGAGGAAGACCAGAAACGGAUAACUCGGGAACGGAUGUAUUCUUCUUAAGGGCGUCUCCUCCUAAGCCGGCGCGACCAGAUUGCAUGGCUCAGUUCUGUUCAUAAUCCAAUGAUAUAUUGACACGUGUCCUGUAUGGUUCACUGAACCUGUCGUUUUCACGCGUGUCUAUUGCCGAAGGUGACACAAGAUGGUUCCCUGAAAAUUAAGUGUAUCCUUUUUUAAUAAUUGAGCUUUAUGUGUUUUGAAAAUUCAAAACUAUAAACGAUAACUGUUAGUUUCACUGUAUAACUAUUUUUUUCUUUUGUAAACUAUAAAAGACAACAAUUAAGGUUGUGUGCAUGUUACUAAUA
Long non-coding RNA from Brassica rapa (field mustard), 3666 nucleotides. RefSeq lists it as uncharacterized. The record is from RefSeq and is a predicted model, not a curated record. NCBI's taxonomy places the organism in Eukaryota, Viridiplantae, Streptophyta, Magnoliopsida, Brassicales, Brassicaceae.